This 253-nucleotide ribosomal RNA is filed under the name uncultured bacterium. Its description in RNAcentral is "partial 16S ribosomal RNA". It matches the Rfam family "Bacterial small subunit ribosomal RNA", at positions 524 to 776 of the family's 1533-position model. The record is from RNAcentral.
UACGAGGGGGGCGAGCGUUGUUCGGAAUUAUUGGGCGUAAAGGGUGCGUAGGCGGUUUGGUAAGUCUCGUGUGAAAUCUCCGGGCUCAACUCGGAGCCUGCACGAGAAACUGCCGGGCUUGAGUGUGGGGGAGGUGAGUGGAAUUCCUGGUGUAGCGGUGAAAUGCGUAGAUAUCAGGAGGAACACCUGUGGCGAAAGCGGCUCACUGGACCAUAACUGACGCUGAUGCACGAAAGCUAGGGGAGCAAACAGG